GACGGAGGCUGCAAGUGUUGUCCGGACUCACUGGGCGUAAAGCGUCUGUAGGUGGUUUAAAAAGUCUGCUGUUAAAAGUUGAAGCUUAACUUCAAAGAUGCAGUAGAAACUUUUAAACUUGAGGAUGGUAGGGGUAGAGGGAAUUUCCAGUGGAGCGGUGAAAUGCGUAGAUCUUGGAAAGACCACCAAUGGCGAAGGCACUCUACUGGGCCAUUACUGACACUGAGGGACGAAAGCUAGGGGAGCAAAUGGG
Molecule: ribosomal RNA, 253 nt
Filed under: uncultured bacterium
Lineage: Bacteria
Description: partial 16S ribosomal RNA
Rfam family: Bacterial small subunit ribosomal RNA
Source: RNAcentral